ACGGAGGGUGCACGCGUUAAUCGGAAUUACUGGGCGUAAAGCGCACGCAGGCGGUUUGGUAAGUUGGAUGUGAAAGCCCCGGGCUCAACCUGGGAACUGCAUCCAAAACUGGCAAGCUAGAGUACGGUAGAGGGUGGUGGAAUUUCAUGUGUAGCGGUGAAAUGGGUAGAUAUAGGAAGGAACACCAGUGGCGAAGGCGACCACCUGGACUGAUACUGACACUGAGGCACGAAAGCGUGGGGAGCAAACAG
This 251-nucleotide ribosomal RNA is filed under the name uncultured bacterium. RNAcentral's name for it is "partial 16S ribosomal RNA". It matches the Rfam family "Bacterial small subunit ribosomal RNA", at positions 525 to 775 of the family's 1533-position model. The record is from RNAcentral.